Nanorana parkeri is the source of this 200-nucleotide long non-coding RNA. RefSeq lists it as uncharacterized. The record is from RefSeq and is a predicted model, not a curated record. NCBI's taxonomy places the organism in Eukaryota, Metazoa, Chordata, Amphibia, Anura, Dicroglossidae. The transcript has 2 exons.
CCUGCUUUCCAUACAGGAUACCACACUUGUCUGGCUGCAAUCACUGAACUUCUUUUAACAAGGUUGACUCGUAUAAUAGGUAAAGAACAAUGCUCUCACGGCUAAGAGAUAUCAUGUUACUAAUGGCCAUUUCCAUUUUAUGGACCAGUACCCAAGGACAGACGACCACAAAUGAGGAUUCUACAAGCCAUCUUGCUACU